Zingiber officinale is the source of this 1125-nucleotide long non-coding RNA. RefSeq lists it as uncharacterized. The record is from RefSeq and is a predicted model, not a curated record. NCBI's taxonomy places the organism in Eukaryota, Viridiplantae, Streptophyta, Magnoliopsida, Zingiberales, Zingiberaceae. The transcript is spliced from 3 exons.
UUUCGUCCAUUUCGUCUAAGCUUCUUCUUCUGUAGUGCUUCUCUGCUCGAUGGAAGAGCAACACACUGUACACACACAACGCCGGAGCUUCGGCGACGUCGUUACCGGCGGCACGACCUCACGCUCGCGGACUCCUCAUGGCGUAUGGAAUCAUCCUCCGGUUCUGCUUUACGAUUCGCCGCUAGGGUCGACGCAGACGCAGACGCAUCCGCACUUGGCGGAUUUAUGGUUCGGUUCCCUGUCUCCGACACCCAACCCUAAUCACCAGCUUCCGAGCCCUCUCGAUCUCGGCGAAUGGAACUACCUGAGUUUACCUUUUCGGAUUCGACAACCAUGGCAUCUGUCUCCACUUCGUUCUUCAUCUCAAGUGCUUCAAUGACCAUUCUGGUCACUUUUUGUUCUUUGUUUUUACUCUACCAGUGAUUUCGUUUUCCUGCAUGAUAUUUUGGCAUGAACAAGAAUUCCUGUUUUUUCUGACGGAUCAUUGCAAUUCAACAAUAGCCUUUCAGAAUUUCGCCAUCAAUUCUUUGAACAAAUGCAUGAGGCAAGUGCAAGGUCUUGUUUGCCUCUACCUGUCACACGAUCCAAGACUGAACACACUACUUUCUUUAACUUUCCCAUUUGUUGUUGAUCAAUUUCAGUACGGUGGAUCCAUUACUUUAAACGCAAGGCGUCUACUGUUUUAUAUCUCCGAAUUUUCUUCUGUUGCUCUUUGCAAACGCCAGAAGCUUUGCCGUGAACUCACAAAAGACCAACUUGAGCUGCAUCUGUAGGUCUGCAUCUGGAGAACUAUUGGAUUUGUGAUUUGUGUCGUCGGUUUUCCAUGAUGCAAUCGUGUUCCUGAACAAUGUUCUUUUCUUGCUUCUCGGAUCAUUCAAGUUGUAAGUUCACUCCAAGGCUAACAAACAAGUUCACUUCAGCAGCAGAAACCAAAAUUCAAGUGAUAAUCACUAAUAUUCAUUUUUUUUGGUGUAAUUCUUUUCAAGAUAAUUUUUUCCUAUGUUCCAAAUGAUUUAAGAUAGAGAUCUUAAACCCUAAUUUUUGUAAAUGGCACUUGUUGACCACCCCAAAGCAAAACCUUGUAUUUUACACAUAUCAGUGAAAUUGUUACUUCUGAUUUCUACA